RNAcentral lists this transfer RNA (97 nucleotides) under Immersiella caudata. Its description in RNAcentral is "Cercophora caudata tRNA-Ile". The record is from RNAcentral. Lineage: Eukaryota; Fungi; Ascomycota; Sordariomycetes; Sordariales; Lasiosphaeriaceae.
GCCUGAUUAGCUCAGCUGGUUAGAGCGUCGUAUUAAUAUUUCCACCAGAAGAUAUCAAGUCAUGCGAAGGUCAACAGUUCAAUCCUGUUAUUGGGCA